AAAAUACUCCCUCCACCCAAAAAUAUUUGUCAUCAAAAUGGCAAAAAGGGAUGUAUCUAGAACUAAAAUACAUCUAGAUACAUCUCCUUUUAUUCAUUUUGAUGAUAAGUAUUUCCAGACGGAGGGAGUAGUUG
Non-coding RNA from Triticum urartu, 134 nucleotides. Lineage: Eukaryota; Viridiplantae; Streptophyta; Magnoliopsida; Poales; Poaceae. The record is from Rfam.